This 278-nucleotide long non-coding RNA is filed under the name Eucalyptus grandis. Its description in RNAcentral is "long non-coding RNA (EGRA_LNC004162)". Lineage: Eukaryota; Viridiplantae; Streptophyta; Magnoliopsida; Myrtales; Myrtaceae. The record is from RNAcentral.
UUUUGUCGAGUCUGUUCUACCGCCAUGGUAGUCUCUUCCAUCUCCUUUCAACUCUAAUUACUCUGAAUCUUUUCCUUUGUCUUCGUAAUGGCAAUUCUCCUCUACUUACAAGGCAUUUCACCCACUCGCAACUCUCUCUACUCCGAUUUCCCCUUCAUCAUCCAUGUUCUGUCAUCUGUCUCUUUCCUCACGUUCUUCAUGAAAUUAUAGCCCGUUCACUUUCACUUUCUCUAACCGUAUCUCUAUUUCCAUCCUCCCAAGCUCUAUCUUCAUCUUUC